AAUUAGACUAUAAUAAUGGUAAAUAAACGUAAUCAAAUUCAAAACAACUCAAAGAAAUUUCAAACAAACAAUAAAAUUCUUAAAGAAAUAUUAGAAUGAUCACAAAUAUUACUCAAAUAUAUAUCAAUUCAACCUUAAUUUAAUUCUACUUAAAACCCUAAUGAAUUUCACUCAAACUUUAGACCAAACCUAAUUAAAUCUUAAACCCUAAUAAAUCCUAAAUCCUAAGUCAAAUCCUAAAUAAAUCUUAAAUUAAAUCCUAAAUCAAACCCUAUUUCAAAUCCUAAACCCUAAAUCAAACCUUAAAUCAAACCCUAAUCCAAAUCCUAAAUCAAACCCUAAUCAAAUUCUAAAUCCUAAUCCAAACCCUAAUCCAAACCCUAAAUCAAAACCUAACCAAACCCUAAUCCAAAUCCUAAAUCAAACCCUAACCAAACCCUAAUUCGAACCCUAGCCAAACCCUAAUCCAAAUCCUAGUAAUUCCUAUGACAGAUUUAAACCUCAAUAUCUAAUGAAUAAACCGUUGAUCUCAAUUCAAAAUUUGCGUACUUCUUAAAAAUCAAGUUGAAAUUAAAUACAAAAAAAUUUGAAAAGGAUCGGAGUUACCAAAUUGACGAAAACCUCAAGAAUGUGUUCGGGUGUUAGCCGGCUUCUUUCUCCAAUCUUGAUGCCAACAUUCUAGAGCCGAUUUCUCUUCUUUGCGCCGUUCGAUUGGUUUCAAAUUUCUCAUGGACAUAGAAAAAUAAGUCUUAGACCCUCUUACACAAUUUUUAUUCUAAUCCAACUAGUAGAUUGCAUGAAAUCUUAAAAACCCUCAUUGGACCUAAAAUUCUACUUUUUGAGACCUUGACUCGCUUAAACCUCAAUAUCUCUCACUUUAAU
This 882-nucleotide long non-coding RNA is filed under the name Physcomitrium patens. Its description in RNAcentral is "long non-coding RNA (PPAT_LNC001016)". The record is from RNAcentral. Lineage: Eukaryota; Viridiplantae; Streptophyta; Bryopsida; Funariales; Funariaceae.